ACGUAGGUGGCAAGCGUUAUCCGGAUUUACUGGGCGUAAAGGGUCCGUAGGUGGUUGGGAGGGUCUGGUGUGAAAGCGCUCGGCUCAACUGGGCGAGGCCGUGUGAGACUGGAAAACUGGAGAGAGGUAGAGGCGAAUGGAAUUCCGGGUGGAGUGGUGAAAUGCGUAGAGAUCCGGAGGAACCCCGGUGGCGAAGGCGACUUGCUGGGCCUGAACUGACGCUCAGACGCGAAAGCAUGGGGAGCGAACGG
Molecule: ribosomal RNA, 251 nt
Filed under: uncultured prokaryote
Description: partial 16S ribosomal RNA
Rfam family: Bacterial small subunit ribosomal RNA
Source: RNAcentral